This 316-nucleotide ribosomal RNA is filed under the name uncultured Bacteroidales bacterium. Its description in RNAcentral is "bacterial SSU rRNA". It matches the Rfam family "Bacterial small subunit ribosomal RNA", at positions 28 to 339 of the family's 1533-position model. The record is from RNAcentral. Lineage: Bacteria; Pseudomonadati; Bacteroidota; Bacteroidia; Bacteroidales.
GAUGAACGCUAGCGGCAGGCUUAACACAUGCAAGUCGAGGGGCAGCAGGGAGUAGCAAUACUCUGCUGGCGACCGGCGCACGGGUGCGUAACGCGUAUGCAACCUACCCUGUACAGGGGGAUAACGGAGAGAAAUUUCCACUAAUAUCCCAUGGAGUCACUGGAUCGCAUGGUCAGGUGACUAAAGCUUCGGUGGUACGGGAUGGGCAUGCGUGACAUUAGCUAGUUGGUAAGGCAACGGCUUACCAAGGCGACGAUGUCUAGGGGAGCUGAGAGGCUAAACCCCCACACUGGUACUGAGACACGGACCAGACUCC